Long non-coding RNA from Bubalus bubalis (water buffalo), 437 nucleotides. RefSeq lists it as uncharacterized. The record is from RefSeq and is a predicted model, not a curated record. NCBI's taxonomy places the organism in Eukaryota, Metazoa, Chordata, Mammalia, Artiodactyla, Bovidae. The transcript is spliced from 3 exons.
AAGAACUUGAGUUUAAGGCUUAGAUUACUGUGCAAACUCUGAACCUUGUCAGACUGCAGAUAGGGAGACCCUGGGGAACUGAAUGAAGAAGAAUGAAAAUAACGAAGAAUGAAAAUGAAGGAAAUGAAAGGCUCAACCCCAAGAGGAUGCUGGGAAAAGGCAAGUUUGGAGAUGGGAGUGGUUCUCAGUCAUCUUCAGUGAUGGACCUGCGCCAGAGAGUUUUGACAGGAGAACACAAACCAUGAGUUGUGAAUAGAAAACAGAAGAGAACUGGACAGUCUGAGCAGAGUCUCCCCAAAAGCAUAAAUUUGCAGAGAGUAUUUGGCAUCUCUUUGGAAGGAAUGAUGCUAAAGAUGAAACUCCAGUACUUUGGCCACCUCAUGCGAAGAGUUGACUCAUUGGAAGACUCUGAUGCUGGGAGGGAUCGGGUGCAGGAG